Molecule: long non-coding RNA, 14851 nt
Organism: Columba livia (rock pigeon)
Lineage: Eukaryota; Metazoa; Chordata; Aves; Columbiformes; Columbidae
Exons: 3
Source: RefSeq, a predicted model, not a curated record
CAACAAGGGUGGGGCCGUCUCAGGACUUCCGCCUCUGUCCGAGAGGGCAGGAGGUCCAUCUCCUUUUGGGGGGUACCUCCCUGGGACCUUUCUGACUGGCACGUCAGGGUGUUACUCCACCAGUCGAUCUCCCUUUCACACUCCCUGAUGGUCCUCAGCGUCUCAACCUCCUCCUUAAGUUUCACAACCGUGUCGAGCAGAUCUUGGACCUGCUCACACCUCACACAGGUGGAGUGCUGGCCUCCCUCCCCCGGCAGCAGCAGGCUCUGGCACUCCCUGCAGCCGGAGACCUGAACAGCCACCGCUCGGGACAGAACCUCCUCAGUCCGCGUAGCCACAGCCUGUUUGAGACAAGCUCUCCUCCUGGAGGCGACCAUGGUCGUCAGCAGUCUGGGAUGCUGGCAAUAAGUUAGAGGGGCUGACAAGCGACAAGUGCUCUCUGCACCCUGCUGCACAAGCUACCACCCCCGCUGCUGCAGCACAGUGCGGGUGGGACUCACCCGCUACACAAGCUGGUUGCUCCUCCCUAAACCUGGUGGGCAGCGACUAGUGUCUGCCCUCCCAAAGGAUUUUUCAAGGCAAGGGGAGGGGUCACCGACACCGUGGGAACGCCCCCCGCCACGUCAGCCGCUGUCUCGCAAUGGCUGCCGGGGCUGCGGGGAUUGGGACACACCGGGAAUCACGCUGUCCCUGUGCGUUUGCCUCUGAGCUUCCUAAUCUCUGCUGAACCUCGUGGCCGGCUGAACCCCGCCGGCUCCGGCUCUAGCUGGGCUGGCUCCGAUCAGAUGACUGGAUGCUAGUAUCGAGUGCCUUUCUGGGCCCAGUGUUGGAGAUUGCCUUUGAAGCAAUUACCCUGUGAAUAAAUGGAGACUCCAUCGUGACUUGAAGGUGUAACCGAUGUAAUGAGGGAAGAAGGAAAUCUUUCUUAAGCGUGCUGUCCAGAAUAACCAUGGUGCUCCUCAAAUCACGUCUCUGUUACAAUUUGGUCUUGCCUCAUGAAAAAGAUGGUGGUGGGUGGUGCGUAAAUAAAAACAGAAGUGAUUUACAUCAGUUGGCCCAAAAUGAUGUUGCACUACAGUAUAUAACAAAGGACCCUGUUACGUUACAUCUGUUCUUGUCCCUGCAGGUGUCUCAUAGUUGUUCUGGAAAUGUUGCUCACAUGAGGAGCAAGCUGAUGUGCAGGUGUUCUUGCCAAUGGCAGUUGUCAGCCUGGGAGGGCGUUGCCUGUGCAAUACCACACCAGGUGUGGCUCCGUAUGAGGCACUUGAAUUACACCUCAGCUUGAAUCUAAGUUUGAGUUUUAUGGUUUGUAUGAAGUGAAAGGCUUUCACUGCCCAAAUGACAGCUCAGCGUUGGUGGGGGUUUUGAUGAAAGUUUGUUUUCUUCAGAAAGACUUCAGUUCUCUGGAAAACUUUUUUGAAAGCACACCCCUCAUGCGAGAUAUUUGGCAGCUGGGUCAUUUGUCAUUACCUCAGUGCUGGUGACUUUCAUCAUUCAUGGCAAGAAAAAAAUUCAGAAAAAGUGUAGUUAGAAAUGAGCCUUACAGGAGUUUUUAGUAACAAGAGUGAAGGACAAGAUCACUUGUAAAGAACAGGUUAACUGACAUAUAGCCCAAUCUGUACCCCUGUAACUAGCUUAGUCUGUGUCAUCUCUGCUCUUGUCUGAAGCAGGUGGCAGUGCUGAAGUCAAGUACUAGGCUGCUUUAGGUGUGAUGUAGGUUAAUAAUUACCCUUUGCAGGACACACUGCAGCCUGUUUUGAGACUCUGCUUAUCAUGUGAACGUGAAUGUGUCUUACUGCAAAAAGUUGAGCUGUCUUUGGUGAUCUGGUAAGUUGAGUGCACAUACUGCAGUAAAAUGGUGGACUGGGGAAGUAGCUUUUACUUGUCCAAAUAACCAACCACCAACAACAAUAACAAAGGGGGAGGAGAAAAAAAAACAACCCACCAAACAGUCCUUUGAGUGCCAGAAAUGAUAAAGCCUGGUUACAUUUGGGUUUGUGGCUCUUCAUAUAUAUUUUGCUGUCAUAGAACUUUACAAUAUGUUGAGAUGUGGGUUUUUUGUUUGUUUUUUUGUUUUUUUUUCCUGUGGAUUUGAGGGUUUCUAACUGUAUAUGGAACUGUUUGCAUGACCGUCUGCUUUUCUGUAGCAUAAUGAAUUUUUCUUUGGCUGCUUAACCUCCUAGGGGGGCAAACCUCUGUCCCAGUCACAUUUGUUGAAUAGGUUUUAGAGGAGGAUUCAAGAUGGAUAAAUAAGACCACAACAUACUUAGAUAUAUCUAUCUCAUUGGUACAACUUCUUAGGAAACAAGGUUCUCUUCAGAAACUUUGCAAAAACCCCAAACUCCAGAACUAAACCCUAAAUCCUCAGUGGCAUAUGAACUUGUCACACCCUGCGUGCCCUUUUGGACUCUUUCUUCCACAUUGAAGGCCUCAGCUCAUCCAAAAGUUUUGGAUAAGAAGCCAUUCUUUUAUUUUUAUUUUAUUUUAUAUUUUUGUAGCUGUUCUGCUAUUUGCUGAAGGAUAUCUCAGCUAGCUACUCCAGUUUCCCAACUGCCCUUCCACAUAGGGGCUUUUUAAGAGGCCAUUAUUGUUUUAAGGUGUCUGAUAGAGGCUAAAGCAUGAGAAUGAUCUGUGUUGCAUAAUGACAUUUCAGAUUUUUAACUUUUCCCUGUCUCCCAUUAAUCCUUCUGCAGGUUUCGUCAGCACCCCAUAAAACCUGUAUGUUACACAUGUUCCAGUGUUCUUCACAACAGCAGGCUGGCUGCUGCGUAUUUUUCAGAUUAUGCCGAUUUUUUUGGUUUUUUUCCAGACCCUUUGCAGAACAGGGGGAACUGAAACUAAAGAUCGUGAGGUUCCGUCCUGGAAAUUCUACUGCUCUUGGAGGCUUCUUUUCGAAGCCAGAGCGCUGUAAGGAAGGUUAAGUGUAAACAAGAAUCAGAGACUUUCAAGUGCAGAGGGCUGACAAAGCCAUUAAUUCUCCUUUUUCAAUAGAUCAGUGAACGAUAUUGCAAGGGCCAGAGCAUCUGCUGAUGUAAAUUAUUGUAGUUUUACUCAUCACGGGAUUCAAAUAUCUUCAUUCCAGCUGGGAAUGUGUCACUGAGAGAUAAUUUUGCACCAUCAGCAUCAAGGGAGACAAAAAAGCAACAUUAAACAACAAAAACAACAGCAACAACAAAAAACCUGCCUAGGUCGAUAUACAGGGCAUUAAAGACCUACUUUAAAACAAAAGAGAAGGAGCCUACACUUUGUAGGUGGUCUUGUUAAAUGAGGCUUUUUGUUUGUAAUUACUGGCUUUACAGAUGAAAUGUAGUUAAGAAAGUGCAAAUUAGCAGCCUGCUCUUGCAUAUGCUGAAGUAUUGAUAUAAGUAGGUCCUUGAACUUCAAAGGGGUUACUCACAUGAGCAAAAUUAAAUGCAGAACUGUUGUUUUUUCAUUCACUUUCUUCUAGGUUGGUGUCUCCUAUAAUUUCUGGGGGUUCGUUCUGAAAACCAGACCCAGUUCCUCUGGAGAUUGCAAGUGUAAUCUCAUUACCUGCUAAUAAACCACGCUUUUUUCUUUUCUUUUUCUUUUUCUUUUUUUUUUUUUUUUUUUUUUUUUUUAAUUUCUCCUUUCUGCAUAGAUUACUUUGCUUCGCCUUGCUUCUUGCAUGUUCAUGGAAGGCUGGAAUUAGCUUGUGGCUGGUGACAUUCUUACCAGAACAUGCAGUCCGGUCAGUAAUACACGACAGAUGUAUUACUUGUCUCACUCUGGGAUAGCUUCUAUAUGUGUAGGCAACAUUCCCAGUCCCGGGCAGGUGUCUGAAGAAGGCCAGGCUAACACAGCCAAGUUUGCAAGAGGCAGAAUCUCACUGUGGCUGAAUUUGAUAGGGAUCUGCCUCCUCUUUGCCUCUGCUGUUUUUCUUGCAGUGAUACUCCAGUCCAGCUGCGUGGGGCUGGUGCAGGGGAGUGGGAGGAGGAGAGGUCAUUAAAAUUUGCCCUGUGGGUUGACAGCUAGCCAAACCUGUUUAACACUCUAGGUUGUUUGUACAGCCUAUUUACUAGUGCAUUUUGUUUUCAGAAAAUGCAAGUGACUUGGUUUACAGAUAGAGCUCCAAGAGUAGGUACAUGUGACCCAACCAAGGGGCAUUGUAGUUUGGCUAAUUCAGCCUAGUUAGUGCUGAGUUCCAAAUGCACUAGAUUCCACCAAAGUUGAGAGAUAGAUGUUGCUUCCAUUACUUCCAAAUGAAGUUUUGUAUUAAACUUCUUAUGCUCUGCUGUGGGUGCAGAGUUUUGCAUUUUAAUCAGAUGAGAAAUCCUGUUCUUGCUCCUCCAUUUUCAGUGAACCCCUCUUUAUGCCUGAUUCGGACGCUUCCCAGGCCUAUCUGCAGGUUUGCAUCCAUGCCCUUGCUUCACAAAGGAAAACACAAACAAGUCUUUCAUCUGACUUCCAUUGAAGUCAAUGAGAGUUUUUCCACUCACUUCAGUGGUAGUUGGAGUGAGUCUUUCAUCUUUCCUUCCUAGAAGCUGGUUGAUCUGGGUCCCUUUUUGUUCUUCCUGUCCUGGCCCUUGUCCCCAUCAUGUCUGAGUACUUGGGUCAGUAGUAGAUUACUCUGUCUUGUUCUGGUACUCUUCUUUCCUGUUGUUUGAUGAGGCUAGGGAAUAAUAGUGUCUCCAUUAUUCUGGAUGUCUCUAACUAAGGAUGAAUGGCAAAGAUAAAAGACGAGAUUUUUCAAGAUGCAAGUGACAGUUUCAUAUGAUUUUCAAAGGUAUUUAGAAGCUUCAGAGACUACCACUUUGUUCCUGUUUCUUUAAGCCUGUAAUUAUCCUGAAAGGACCUAGCAUUAAUUAAUAAAUUAAGGUCAUGGACAAAGUCUGUUGCAGAGGAGCUGAAGAGGCAUGAGCUCUACAUCUGUUUCUGAAUGUUCGCUCUUCGGAAUUCCAGACAUCUCGGUCUUGGGCAUCAUCAUACACUGGCUGUACAGGCAAAAUGUCAGCGCCACAUACCUUGGAGGAAACCUGUAUGGAAAAGCCACUCUUCUGAGUAUGUGGUGGUGGCUGUGGCCACCAUAUUCAAGCAUUUGAGGGCUUUCCUCCCUUUCCUUAGUUAUCAGUUUUCAUUUUGGGGAGGUGGUUGUGUGAUUUUAGAGAAGUGUAAACAGACUAAUAAUUGCAAGGCUUAGACCCCAGAGAGUGACUGUUCUAUGAGUAAGCUUUCAGAGGUAAAGAGCAGCCUAGUGACUUGUUCCUUUCAUAUAGGAAUAAUAUAGGAGACACCAAGAUGUGACAGAUGAGAGAUCUGCAAAACACUUAUUCUGUGUCCUACUACCUGUUGACAUAAGGCAGCUCAACACUCCAGCUCUUAGCUUAUCUAGAAGACUUCGCCUGGUUUAUGGCUGCUCUGAGUUGCUUGGAUAUGCACACUAUAGCAAUUAGUUAUGCUAGCGAUUAGUUGUACCUCCAAAAAUUGAGUUCCUCAUUAAAGCCUGGCCCAAGAUGUGAAGACCUAGCAUUCACCUGGAAUCUUUCAAGUCUCUGAACAUUGAAAGUCUAAUAGUAAUAAUAAUAAUGAUGAUUAUAUAUAAACACAUUAACACUUACCAAGUAUGUCACAACCACACAAAGGACAGACUAAAGCGUGUUGACGAGAAUGCAAGAAGCAGCAGAACAAAAGUUCAAUGAUAGUGACUGCACACCUUCAUAAUAAACAUCAUUAUUUUAAUAAAAAGUAUGUCCCUUUGACCAGUUUUUUUUCUCAGAAGAUGUUCAGGGCACUUUAUAGCAUAACUGUGUCUCUAGGAUUACAGACAGAAGGACUGAUAUUUUUUCUGAGCAGUUUUGGUCCAAAAAGCUGCUUCCAUCCCCCCACCAAGAGCUCAGAAACUGAGGAAACAAAGCAUGCAUGUGAACGUAGUCUUAAUUAUUCUUCCUGUGGCUUGUGUACAGAGGAGGGCAGGAUCCACACAUACUUCAGGUGGUGAGUGCAGGAGCAGAGCAUCAUUGGAGUUUGAACCUAAUCUGAGUGUGCUGGUACAGUAUUCAGGGAGCUGUUGGGUUUAGAAGGUAGGCUACCGGGUCGAUGCUUGGGAAGUAUCAGUGCUUAUCUUCACCACUGAUUUCCUGUGCAUUUGGGGUCCAUGUUCCUGGAAUAGCAAGGCAUGCUCAGUCAGCCAUGUUUCCAGUUGGGCUGCUGCUUCAAGGCCAGCUACAGGGUGCCCGAGCCAUUCCUGCCCUCCUUCAGGUGUUGGUACUCCAUCAGCACGUUAUCACGCUCUCAUGAUAACGUGCAUUUUGCCUUCAAACUGCAUGGAGAUUCCCCAAGCAGGAGGUGAGGUAACCACCUGUGACUGAUUGCCUCCAGAGCAGACAUGCCAGCUUAGCAUCUCUCUAGGCACUGAGGCUGUGUUUUAGCUAAGCCAGCAAGAGAAUACAAAAUUUGGAUGCUUCCUCCUCACUAAUCCAUCUGUGUAAUUAUGACAGACAGUGGCUGAGGCUUCUCCACCGUUGGUACCCCAGAAGCCUCAAUGCAAUAAGAGAUGUUAAUGGUAUCUCCUGUAUCACUGACCAAGAGACCACCAUACACUGAGGCAUUACUGAUCCACAUAAAGGUUACCUGGAGGCGCACAGGCCUGCAUGGGGCUGCAGGUCCAGCAUAGACUUCAGUCUCUUGUGCUGCAGGUACCCCUCAGCCACGGGGCAGCCCCUCAGCCUGCCCUGAUGGGAGAGCCUACAGCGAUCUCCCACUUUGUACCAGCAAUUACACCACCUGCAUGGCCUUGCCUUCAUCUGAAAGUGCAGCAAGAAGCUCUCAUUUGAACAUUGUCUUCAUUUGACAGUGGGAAUGAUGAACAGAAUUGUUGUAUUGUAAGAAAAUUCUAUAAUAUGUCUGAAAUAACCAAAAUGGGAUAACCUUUCUGUGGACUGGAUCUGCACACCAUGCUGCACAGCUCAGGCUUGCCAGCAUCUGAAGGGAUGUUACAUUGCCUACAGUCCCCUCUCUUUCUUGACAGUAUUAGCUCUAAUAAAAAGCAUGCACAAAGUCAGAGUUCCUUUCUUAAGAAGCCAUGAUGGACCAGCACCUCCUGGUGCAAAAACACUGCCAUGAAGACAAGAGUUUGCCACUGUAAACAAAUAACAUAUAGCUGGACAGAACAUGAAAGAUCACAUUGAAAACUGUGUUCUGCAAAGAGGAAUCUGAUUUUCCUGAGGUGAGACUGCUGCUGGGCUAUUUUACCUUAGGCUUUUUUCAUGACUGGCUCUAAAUAUCCCAUGGAAAGCUGAAUUAAUGCAUUUUAAAGAAGAAAAAAAAAAAAAGAUUAAAAAAAAUCCCUAAAUUACAUGUGAUAGUGCAUUUGAACACAAAGACAGAAUUCUCAGGAAAAAUCUGCUAUGGUUUGCAUGGGCCUAGCUAAAGACACUCUGUCUCAGAAGAAGAAUUUGCAGCAGACUCAGGUGUUUCGAUUUCAGCUCUUGCAUUCAGGCUUUGAAUCAGCUCAUGUGCAUUUCCAGAUGCUCUACCACCAACUCUCUGAAGGUGGUAGUGUUCUCUUCUCCAAACUUGCAACUCCUACACCUAAUGCAAAAGUUAAAUGACUGUCUGCUGUAGAGAUGAGGAAGAGCAAAGCAGGUGGGAGGAAAGAAAUUGAACAGCAGGAAGCCCUUGCAGAAGUCAAUCUGCACUUUCCUGGUGAGCUGAAAACUGUCCUAUGCAUCCCAGUGAAGAAGGAUCUCUGCUGUGCAGUGCUGAGGGCUUCUUCUUCCAUGGUGUUAACUUGUUUAUCCCUUUUUGGAGCAAAGAGAGGGAGAAAUGCAAAGAUGCAUAGGACACUGUGGUCACUGCCUCAUUUUAUUGCUCCAAGGAGUGGUGUAGAAAAGGAGAUACUUCUGCUUGAGCCUACGUAUGUCCCAGGGAGGGGAAAAUGAGAAAUAAAGAUGCAGUGCAAAGGUAUUUAGACCACUUGUACUACCUAUUCCCAUUAUGGUGACUCAUGUAGGGACAGAAAUGUGUUUUGUUGAGGGUAUUAGGCAUGCAUUCCACUUCAUUCUGCAUUGGCAAAUGCCAGGUCUUGUUCAGAUCUUGUUCAGAUCUUGUUCAGAUCUUGUUCAGAUCUUGUUCAGGUCUUGUUCAGAUCUGCUGGAUCUAGUUGCAUCUCACCAGCCGAGAGGCAGCAACCCACAGUUACGAGUUUUGUACGCUGCUGUGUCCCUUUAGUGUAUUAGAUGCAAUCUAGGCAGGGGGAACCAAACCAAACCAAACCAAAUGAACACGUAACUGGCAAAUCUGGAGGUAGGUGGGGAACCAAAGGUCCUAGUCGAUAGCAUGGCAGUACUUAAACUCAGCUUUUGAGAGUCUCAGUUUUGUACACAACCUGUCCCAGGAGGAAAAGUUUCUGUGAGUUGGUAAUACCCUGUGCACAGUAUUUUGUUGAAAAACAUCCACAGUGACAACUGAUGGCCAUUUGCCAUUUUGUGAAAACAAGCUUGUGACAUGUACAGCAUGAGACAGUAUCCAUGCAGCAGGUGACCUGAGAUAACCUAUUGAAAAAUAACAAGGCACAGGAGAAGUUAAAGCUCUUAAAUACUUGCUUGGUGGUUUCUGUCCACAGCUAGUCAUGAAGCCACAAGCAGGGCCAGAUCCGUGAUGUGGGCAGUAGUGUGGGCACCAUGGCUGAUGAACGCCUGGAUACUCAUGUUCUAUGCUAAUAUUGGCAGAAAAAUUACUUAAUAGAGGAAGAGUUUUCCAGAUCUAAAUUCUGCUUCUUCAUAUGCACAGAAUUUUUCUUAAGCUUUCCUUUUGUUGCACACAGCACAUGAAGUUAAUCCUUAUGCUUUACUAGCAAGACUCCCACUGUGUAUACUGGUCCAUUAUCAACAUCUCUUCAGAGACACCAACAUCCCUUCAACCACAGCAUGUUGUUCUGUGGAUACUGAGACAGAUACCACAGCUGAGCUGUUGUCACUUGUGUUUUGUUUUGUAAGAAGCAGCAAGGCAUGAAAAAAACACAAGUAUCUUAAUGCUAAAGUCCUUCAAGCUGCUUCAGAUGGGGCAACCAUGGCCAAACACAUUUUAAGAAACCCUGUCCUUGUGAUGAGAUACGGGCUGAAAGUUUGCCAGUAGGAGUGAUGUUUCCACUGCAAAUUUUCCAGCGUUAAAGUAUGAUUGUGAAAGGACAGCAAGAUCUGUGAGGACAGGUUAUACUUUAUUAACAAUUGUUCACUUUUCAUCUUAAAUAAAAUAAGACAAAACAUGAAAUUUAGCUGGGAGGCAGGUUGUUAGGGUAAGUCUAAGAUAUGCCAGAUAUAAAACAGGUUUUCCUGUCUUUGAUCACCAGGUCAGCCAUUGAUCUGAAAUCAAACCAAAUCAAGCAAAGCCUUGUGAUGCUGACCUCUAAGAGUCUCUCCAGGAAGCAGCUUGGCAUGGAGACAGGAAUUUAACUUAAUCAUAUUCAGAAAACAAAGAAGCAGAAAUUACAGCAUCACUGGAGUCACUGAAGUAUUGUGAGUUGCCUUCUCAGAGUCUUAAUAAAAGAUGGAUAAACAGGUUCCAAAAAUAUGUGAAAACACCACACCUAAACUCUAGCCCAUUCCUAGCAUUAAAAUGUUAAAUUAAACAAAAUGUUUUCAAAGGCUUUGAAAUGUUUAGUGAUUAUUUAUAUGAUGGCAGUGCCUUCAAGCCCAGACAAAAAUCAAGGCCCCACUGACCACACACGGCUCUUGCCACUUAAAUGGUCAGGACUGUGCUUCCAAAAAUGACAGUUUACAACGUCUUUUAAAACUGGGCUGGUGGCUGCAGUGACUUGAGAAGGCUUCAGAGGACCAUUCUUAGACACUAGCAGGCUUUUAAUUCCUUCCCCCCCUCUGUGUCAAUCUUUUCCCCUUGCUUUCUUUCUAAGUGCAGUUUCCCUUGUGUUAAGCAGCUUCCAGGCCUGCUGCAGGGCGGCAGGAAAGGUGGCAGCAGUGUGAGGUCUCCGCUUGUCCCUGCUGGGUCUGGCAGUGCUGCUGGGUUCUGGCAGUGCUUCAGCCCACAGCACAGCCCAGCCCAGGUACAGGGGGUCAUUUUGGCAGGUACUGCUUCUAAGAAGCAUCCACAGAAGCACAGAUAGAGACAGUCAUGCCUUCAGAGGCUGCAAGACCUCUGAUCUCUUUCUAAAAAUCAAUCUAUCACCAUAUCUCCAAGUCCUAUAUACCAGGGUGGAAUUUUUUGCAUGCUCAUCAGAGUACACUGGGCCUGAAACUGAGUUUGACCUCCUCCCCAAGUACUAUCUGAAAGGCAGUUUUCAGUUCCAUUUGUUGUGGGGUGCCUGUGAAUUACCAUGCUCCCAGGCCUUGCUAGCAUCUCUGCGUAUAAAACGUUGCUGUCUGUGGAGAAGGAAGUUACAUGCACGCCUGAGCACCGGCUGAUGAAACUUAGAGCUGUGCGCCUCUGCCAGGUAGUUUACAAAGUGAUUGCCAAGGGGAGGGAAGGCUGUUUGCUGUCUUCCUUUGCAUGGCACUCUGCAGUGGUCCCUGUCACGGCUGGCUGGAUAUGGCAGCUAUGCAGGACCAAAAGAGUGGCCCUGUUGUCUCUAUUACCCCACAGUCAGAAAACACUCUGCUUUUUAAACUUUUGCACAUCGUCUACCUGUCUGGCUUUCUCUGUGAAGAUAACCCUCAAACCACAUUAAACAACUAGUACAUGGGGAAAUUUUGUGCAAGGUCCCAGAAUUUUUGUAGGUGCAGUAAGGGUAAAAUAAAUCGACUGAUUGAAUUCAUCUUACCUGCUUGGCUCAAAUGUGAGGGCAAAGGUUAAUUUACCACAAGUGUUUAUCUUGAUGGUCAUGAUUCAGCUUGCCAACUGUUCUCAUAUGACCAGAACAAAUUUAUUCUCAUGACAAGAGAAACAUUAAUAGCCAUUUUAUCAGUCGAAUGUCUAAAAACCGCAUUUGCCAUUCUAAUGCAUGUCUCCAGCGUGGAGGGCUAAUUAAUUGAAUGGCCUGUUUGUGUUCUGCUUCCUCUGUUGACUUUUUAACUUCCCCUUCAGAAUAGCUAAACAAACUUAUUAGUGCAUUUAAUGUUGAAAUCAAAAACUUUGUGUGGAGGGUGAGUAGUUUUCUAAAUGUCCUGGAGGGCCUUGGUUGUGCUCGUCAGCUUAAUGUUGGCUGUAACCGUCAGGUUGGAGCCACGCAUAUGUACCUGAGGCUUAAAUAACUGGAGUCUCACCAAGGCUGUCUUUGGUUAGUGCUUUGCAUAUUCAGGUUGUAAGUAGAGGCAGCUCAGAACUCACUGCUGGGCUGAGCUGUCACUGGAGCAUCAACUAUCUGGGCAAGAAGAGGACUUGCACCUGGAGAAGGGACAUAGUAAUGCCCAACUUUGAUCCAGUGCUGCUUGCAGCAGCCUGCACAGGCCUGGCUGUACUGCCUGUGCCCUGGAAAAGAUCAGUUCUGGCACAGGCAGCCUGGCAUGUCAGCAAGAGCCAAGAUCUAUUUUCAUUUCAAACAGGCCCCCGAUAUAAAUAAAUAAACGAAACUUGAAAGAAAAUGUCAAAAGAAACCAUCCUGAAACAGAUAGUGAAAAGUUUUCUUCCUGAUUCAUGCAAAGUCAAUUAGCGUGUUACUAAAUACAUGCCGAGAGACAUCAUCGUAAUAGGAACAAUCAGGUCAUUUGAAUAGCCAAAUAUGCUUUUAUGCCAUAUUUGUUUACCUUGUAGAGUCUAUCCAUGCUAUGCAUGUAAAUGCCAAAGUCUUUUUCUUGUUAAGCUUAGUAAUCCCUCCUCCCCUCAGCUAUCAGUGUGGUUCCUUGUUUGUACCUGUCAAGGGCUGCUGCAACUUACAACUGUUGGUUUAAGCAAAUGUGCAGUCCUUUGCCAACAGGAAUAUCCUGUUUAGUAGAGCGCUCUAAGGUGCCAUUUAUAUAAACUUAGCUGUAUACUGUCACAACACACCACUCCAUGAAAAGAUAAGCAGGUGCUACAGGUAAGGGAGACCCUUACUAGAAACAUAGCCAUUUGUCUAGGCAGAGACACUGAUUUUUCUUUAAUGUGGGAUGGGAUGAUUUACAAUGAGGGUGGUAAAACAGGUUGCCCAGAAAGGUGGCAAAAGCCCCAUCCCUGGAAAUAUUCAAGGCCAGGCUGGCUGAGGCUCUGAGCAACUGGAUCUAGUUGAAAAUGUCCCUGCUUGUUGCAGGGUUGGACUAGAUGACCUUUAAAGGUCUGUUGCAACAGAAAACAUUAUUAUGAUCUUGUGAUUCUCUGAUUAACGCCCAGUUAUCUGCUGGCAACAGAAAAAGCCCUCUCGGUGCAAAGGGACUGGUAAGGUAUGACAGCAUCCAACUGCAAAUCAAGGCAGCCAAACGUGAGGCCUCUGACAAGUCUAGUUCUCGCUUGAUCUGCAGUUUAUCAGACAAACAGUCAUAAGCACAGUCGCAGUCAUUAUACUCAGUCCUACGCCAAACAGACUUCAGCCUAAGCAUGCAAAGUGACUGGGAAUAGGGAAGUGAUCUUCGUUCCUCUUUUAGGUAUAGGCAACUGAAACACAGGGAAGUUCUGGCACUAAUUCAGCAAGGUACUUAAGCCUGUAUUUAAUUUUUAAGCUCUGAAAUGCGUGGGUGGGAGCUGGCUCCAUGAAGUCAAAGGCAAAACUCACAUGAAGCAGGAUUUUGCCUUCUCUGACUAUGAAAGUGUUUUGGGAGGGAAACAGCUUGCCUCAGGUCACACUGGGAGUCUGUGGCAGAGCUGAGAAUUGACACUGGGUGUCCAAAGUCCGAAACUAGUGCCUUAACCUGUUUUUAACUUACUGCAUGCUUCCUCCAAAAACAUCAUUGCACAUACUUAGAUACACCAGAUAGCCCUGAAUUACUAUAAGCCCAUCACUUGUUUUGGACAGCUUUGGAGGGUAAGAUGAAAAUGCAUCUUUGAUUUUAUCCUCUGAGUGAUAUUUAAAUAAGAUACAAACAAACUUGACUGCAUGCUCAUGGAGGAUUGUGUUAUGUGAUAUAUACAUCAUUGCUGAAUCUCUGUUUUUAUGUAUCAGUGAAGAGCACAGCUAAAAGCCAAGGACUAUGGCAUGGCAUUGGCUUAUGUAGGUAGCCUAUUGCUGUAUUGAUCUUUUCUAGGUUUCUAAAACUGAGAGGCACGGCUGAAGUGGGAUUGCUCAGAGAUUUCCUCCAGCAUCAGUGGCACAACACUGCCAGUUUCAUGCACCGAUUUAUUUACUCCAAUUGUUUCUGACCUAAAAUCGUGCUGCCAGCCUAAGCUCCUGACAAAUCUCUGCCCUCUCAAAUAAACAUGCUGUGGUCAACUGGGGCUGAGUGCACCUGCCUUGUCAAAGGUAAAGGUACAGAUGAAGAUAAGAUGCUUUGGCAUGGAUGGUGGAGUUCAUGUUCAUGUCUGCCCAUGGGGCUGCUGGUGGUGUUCAGGCAGGACGGGAGUGCUGCUCAGAGCUGAAAACCCAGGCCAGUCACCUCAUCGGGAUCUGUGGUUGCAUGAACCGAGAAAACCCACCCUGUACACCCCUUCACGAGGCCUGUCCCCAUGGGCACCAGGACAGCAGUACCCGGAGCUGGAUGGCUUCAUCCGCAGUCCAGCUGCCAUCAUUGGGAAGCCGCAGGUGAGACCCUGCCCAGUCUGUCCCUGCCGGUCCGCUUCAGAAGGUCUCAAAUGCUUACAGCGCCCCCAGGCCAGCCUGAGCCACAGCACUGGCUUUGAUGUGCCGCCUCUUGCUGUCUUGUUAUUCUCCGGCGCCUCCCGGCUUGCCUUUACUUAUUUUUAAAAUUUUUUUAAAUUUUGGUUUGUUUUAUUUUAUUUUAUUUUAUUUUAUGUAUUAUUUUUAUUUAAUUAUUUUAAUCUCGGCGCGACAAAGCGCGGAGCCGCCGCCGCCGCCGCCGCCGCCAGGCUCCUGCCCGCUGCCGCCUGCCGUCCGGCCCGGCGCCGCCACCGCCCUCAGGGUGGCACUAGAAAACAAUGAAUGACGGCUCGGCGGGCCCGUGUGCUGCGCUGCUGCCGGGCUGCCCAGGCUCUGCAGGCUGGCUGGUACCUGCUCUGCCAGACCCUCGCUGCACUCCGGGUGUAUCACUUUCCUCUGUCAGCAGUAAGAGAUUUUUAGGGUGAAGUCUGCACCAACACUAAAACCCACUUACGCUUCUCGAAUAUCCCAGUGUUUCUAAGCUAGACUGGUGUGAAUCCUACCUCAUCUGUUAAUGCUUGCUGAAAGGCUGUCAUCCAGCCCCCAAGUAUCAGAAAGUGGUACCUCACAGUAAUGCCUUCUGUCAUGUUCCACCAGCAAUACUUCAUCUUGUUUCACAGCAUCACAGAAUGGUUGUAGCUGGAAGGGACCUUUGAAGAUCAUCUAGUCCAACCCACCUGCUAAAGCAGGUUUACCCAGAGCAGAUUACACAGGAAUGUGUCCAGGCAAGUUUUGAAUGUCUCCUGAGGAGACUCCACAACCUCUCUGGGCAGCCUGUUCCAGUGCUCUGGCACCCUCAAAGUAAAGAAGUUUCUCCUCAUAUUCUGAUGGAACCUCCUUUGCUUCAGUCUGUGCCUGUUGCCCCUCAUCCUAUCAUUGGGCAGGAAGGAGACUGGUCCCAUCCUUUUCCAAAUAGUGCUGUUCUUUUAUUUUGACUGAAACAACAAUUAAACAUUUCAAGUCAGGAACAAAAAUAAAGAGUGUUUUCCUUCCACUGUGGACCUCAGCUUUCAGACCCCAAAUGUGAAAUGUUAUUUUGGUACAAGAUGAACAAAAGUGAAGAUACACAGAGGUAUUAAUACUGGCUUUUGGUGAAGAGCACAGCGAUUUAUAGUUUUAGAUUUCCGUAAGCCAAAGAAUAAAACUCUAGCAUGAAAAGGUAAUAAAAAUCCAGCAGCACAGAAACCAGUAACUCAAACAUCUGGAAAUGUUAUUAUU